This 471-nucleotide ribosomal RNA is filed under the name uncultured bacterium. Its description in RNAcentral is "bacterial SSU rRNA". It matches the Rfam family "Bacterial small subunit ribosomal RNA", at positions 28 to 473 of the family's 1533-position model. The record is from RNAcentral.
GACGAACGCUGGCGGCGUGCCUAAUACAUGCAAGUUGAACGCAACAAAGACACCAGAGCUUGCUCUACCGUCUUUGUUGAGUAGCGAACGGGUGAGUAACGCGUGGGUAACCUGCCUUAUAGCGGGGGAUAACUAUUGGAAACGAUAGCUAAUACCGCAUAACAAUAGAGAUUGCAUAAUCUUUAUUUGAAAGUGCCAACUGGUACACUAUGAGAUGGACCCGCGUUGUAUUAGCUAGUUGGUAGUGUAAUGGACUACCAAGGCGAUGAUACAUAGCCGACCUGAGAGGGUGAUCGGCCAACAUUGGGACUGAGACACGGCCCAAAUCCUACGGGAGCAGCAGUAGGGAAUCUUCGGCAAAUGGACGAAAGUCUGACCGAGCAACGCCGCGUGAGUGAAGAAGGUUUUCGGAUCGUAAAACUCUGUUGUUAGAGAAGAAUGUUGAUUAGAGUGGAAAUUAAUCAAAGUGAC